GAACGCACCUUGCGCCCUUUGGCUAUUCUGAAGGGCAUGCCUGUUUGAGUAUCAGUAAACACCUCAAAGACUUCAAUUUGUUUUGAAUGGCUUUGGACUUGAGCAAUCCCAACACCAGUCUUUACGAUCGGUGGAGGGUUGCUUGAAAUGCAGGUGCAGCUGGACAUUCUCCUGAGCUAAAAGCAUAUUUAUUUAGUCCCGUCAAACGGAUUAUUACUUUUGCUGCAGCUAACAUAAAGGGAGUUUGACCGUAUUGGCUGACUGAUGCAGGAUUUCACAAGGGUCGGCAACGAUUCUUGUAAAACUCGAUCUCAAAUCAAGUAAGACUACCCGCUGAACUUAAG
Molecule: unclassified non-coding RNA, 344 nt
Filed under: uncultured fungus
Lineage: Eukaryota; Fungi
Description: sequence contains 5.8S rRNA gene
Source: RNAcentral